AUGAAUCUCUUUGUGUGGAACUGUCGUGGGCUUGGGAACCCGGAGACAGUUCGAGAACUCCACCAUCUGGUGAGAGUGGAAGCGCCCGCCUUGGUCUUUAUCUCUGAAACAAAGAUUGAGGGUUCUAGAGUGGCAGAUUUAACAAACCGUUUGGGUUUUGCUGGGUGUGUGCCCGUAAGCAGUUCUGGCUUAAGUGGCGGAUUGGCCUUAUUUUGGUCGCAUGAAUUGGAUGUAACUUUGAACAACUAUUCAGAUCAGCAUAUUGAUGUAAAGGUAGAGAAUGUGGGCUCGUUUCGCAAGACGUGGCGUUUUACUGGAUUCUAUGCUAAAGCCCAUCGAAGUGAGAGAUCCCAAAGUUGCGAACGAUUGAGGCAGUUGAAUGCGCAAAGCUCUUUGCCGUAG
This 402-nucleotide ribosomal RNA is filed under the name Triticum aestivum (bread wheat). RNAcentral's name for it is "partial small subunit ribosomal RNA". Lineage: Eukaryota; Viridiplantae; Streptophyta; Magnoliopsida; Poales; Poaceae. The record is from RNAcentral.